RNAcentral lists this ribosomal RNA (465 nucleotides) under uncultured bacterium. RNAcentral describes it as "bacterial SSU rRNA". It matches the Rfam family "Bacterial small subunit ribosomal RNA", at positions 329 to 792 of the family's 1533-position model. The record is from RNAcentral.
CGCCAGACUCCUACGGGAGGCAGCAGUGAGGAAUAUUGGUCAAUGGCCGGGAGGCUGAACCAGCCAAGUCGCGUGAGGGAAGACGGCCCUACGGGUUGUAAACCUCUUUUGUCAGGGAGCAAGGUGCAGGUCGGGACCUGCUGUGAGAGUGCCUGAAGAAAAAGCAUCGGCUAACUCCGUGCCAGCAGCCGCGGUAAUACGGAGGAUGCGAGCGUUAUCCGGAUUUAUUGGGUUUAAAGGGUGCGUAGGCGGAGUGUUAAGUCGGGGGUAAAACCGGGGGGCUCACCCCGGGGGAGCCGUUGAAACUGGCUGUCUUGAGAUGUCGAGAGGUAUGCGGAAUGCGCAGUGUAGCGGUGAAAUGCUUAGAUAUUGCGCAGAACUCCGAUUGCGAAGGCAGCAUACCGGCGGCGAUCUGACGCUGAAGCACGAAAGCGUGGGUAUCGAACAGGAUUAGAUACCCCAGUA